This 517-nucleotide ribosomal RNA is filed under the name uncultured bacterium. Its description in RNAcentral is "bacterial SSU rRNA". It matches the Rfam family "Bacterial small subunit ribosomal RNA", at positions 95 to 606 of the family's 1533-position model. The record is from RNAcentral.
GCGGCGGACGGGUGAGUAAUGCCUAGGAAUCUGCCUAGUAGUGGGGGAUAACUUGCCGAAAGGUAAGCUAAUACCGCAUACGUCCUACGGGAGAAAGCAGGGGACUCUUCGGAGCCUUGCGCUAUUAGAUGAGCCUAGGUCGGAUUAGUUAGUUGGUGAGGUAAUGGCUCACCAAGACUGCGAUCCGUAACUGGUCUGAGAGGAUGAUCAGUCACACUGGAACUGAGACACGGUCCAGACUCCUACGGGAGGCAGCAGUGGGGAAUAUUGGACAAUGGGGGAAACCCUGAUCCUGCCAUGCCGCGUGUGUGAAGAAGGUCUUAGGAUUGUAAAGCACUUUAAGUUGGGAGGAAGGGCAGUUAACUAAUACUUGACUGUUUUGACGUUACCGACAGAAUAAGCACCGGCUAACUUCGUGCCAGCAGCCGCGGUAAUACGAAGGGUGCAAGCGUUAAUCGGAAUUACUGGGCGUAAAGCGCGCGUAGGUGGUUCGUUAAGUUAGGAGUGAAAGCCCCGG